GACGAACGCUGGCGGCGUGCCUAAUACAUGCAAGUAGAACGCUGACGGAGUAGCUUGCUUCUCUGGAUGAUUUGCGGUCGGGUGAGUAACGCGUAGGUAACCUGCCUGGUAUUGUGGGAUAACUUUUCGAAACGAUAGUUAAUACCGCAUAACAUUAGAUAUCGCAUUAUAUCUACUUGAAAUUUGCACUUUCCUCACUACCAUAUGGCCCUGCGUUGUAUUAGCUAGUUGGUGAGGUAACGGCUCACCAAGGCGACGAUACAUAGCCGACCUGAGAGGGUGAUCGGCCACACUGGGACUGAGACACGGCCCAGACUCCUACGGGAGGCAGCAGUAGGGAAUAUUCGGCAAUGGACGGAAGUCUGACCGAGCAACGCCGCGUGAGUGAAGAAGGUUUUCGGAUCGUAAAGCUCUGUUGUAAGAGAAGAAAGAGUGUGGGAGUGGAAAGUGCACACUGUGACGGUAUCUUACCAGAAAGGGACGGCUAACUACGU
This 494-nucleotide ribosomal RNA is filed under the name uncultured bacterium. Its description in RNAcentral is "partial 16S ribosomal RNA". It matches the Rfam family "Bacterial small subunit ribosomal RNA", at positions 28 to 506 of the family's 1533-position model. The record is from RNAcentral.